RNAcentral lists this ribosomal RNA (497 nucleotides) under uncultured bacterium. RNAcentral describes it as "partial 16S ribosomal RNA". It matches the Rfam family "Bacterial small subunit ribosomal RNA", at positions 28 to 507 of the family's 1533-position model. The record is from RNAcentral.
GACGAACGCUGGCGGCGUGCCUAAUACAUGCAAGUAGAACGCUGAAGGAAGGAGCUUGCUCUUUCUGGAUGAGUUGCGAACGGGUGAGUAACGCGUAGGUAACCUGCCUGGUAGCGGGGGAUAACUAUUGGAAACGAUAGCUAAUACCGCAUAAAAUUGAUUAUUGCAUGAUAGUCAAUUAAAAGGUGCAACUGCACCACUACCAGAUGGACCUGCGUUGUAUUAGCUAGUUGGUGGGGUAACGGCUCACCAAGGCGACGAUACAUAGCCGACCUGAGAGGGUGAUUGGCCACACUGGGACUGAGACACGGCCCAGACUCCUACGGGAGGCAGCAGUAGGGAAUCUUCGGCAAUGGACGGAAGUCUGACCGAGCAACGCCGCGUGAGUGAAGAAGGUUGUCGGAUCGUAAAGCUCUGUUGUAAGAGAAGAACGAGUGUGAGAGUGGAAAGUUCACACUGUGACGGUAUCUUACCAGAAAGGGACGGCUAACUACGUG